This 24-nucleotide non-coding RNA is filed under the name Mus musculus (house mouse). The record is from RNAcentral. Lineage: Eukaryota; Metazoa; Chordata; Mammalia; Rodentia; Muridae.
UCUGAAGAGAAUAGCGUCCUUAGA